This 541-nucleotide ribosomal RNA is filed under the name uncultured bacterium. RNAcentral's name for it is "bacterial SSU rRNA". It matches the Rfam family "Bacterial small subunit ribosomal RNA", at positions 135 to 671 of the family's 1533-position model. The record is from RNAcentral.
AGUGGGGGAUAACGUAGCGAAAGUUACGCUAAUACCGCAUAUUCUGUGAGCAGGAAAGCAGGGGAUCGCAAGACCUUGCGCUUUCGGAGCGGCCGAUGUCGGAUUAGCUAGUUGGUGAGGUAAAAGCUCACCAAGGCGACGAUCCGUAGCUGGUCUUAGAGGAUGAUCAGCCACACUGGGACUGAGACACGGCCCAGACUCCUACGGGAGGCAGCAGUGGGGAAUUUUGGACAAUGGGGGCAACCCUGAUCCAGCCAUGCCGCGUGAGUGAAGAAGGCCUUCGGGUUGUAAAGCUCUUUCGGACAGAAAGAAAUCGCAUCGGCUAAUACUCGAUGUGGAUGACGGUACUGUCAUAAGAAGCACCGGCUAACUACGUGCCAGCAGCCGCGGUAAUACGUAGGGUGCGAGCGUUAAUCGGAAUUACUGGGCGUAAAGCGUGCGCAGGCGGUUUUGAAAGACAGGCGUGAAAUCCCCGGGCUCAACCUGGGAACUGCGCUUGUGACUUCAAGACUAGAGUACGGCAGAGGGGGGUAGAAUUCCA